Long non-coding RNA from Echinops telfairi (small Madagascar hedgehog), 1587 nucleotides. RefSeq lists it as uncharacterized. The transcript has 6 exons. Lineage: Eukaryota; Metazoa; Chordata; Mammalia; Afrosoricida; Tenrecidae. The record is from RefSeq and is a predicted model, not a curated record.
CCUUUUCGCUUGCGGCCUUUGUCCGAGCAGCUGCUCGGUGGGGAGCUCCGGACGCGUGUGGAUGGCUUGACUAGAAUGCAUUCCUGAAGGAAGGAAAUCGUGGAAGGAGUGCAGUCUGUUGUGUGGUUUUUCAGGCGGCUUGACCUGGAUAAGAAACCUGCUUCCAUCAGGACCCCGCAUCUCUCGACAACUCUUGUGACACCAGAUAAGAAUUGGCCAGCUCCCUUUGUAAAUGCUUUGGUGUGAUGGCCAUGUGAAGUAGGUUCCAGGUCUGAUUUGUAUUAUGAGGAGAUAUUUAAAGGGUUCAAACUGCCGGUCUUUCAGCAAUUCAGUGUGUAGCCUACGACUGACACCAGGGUUGAAAAGGUUAGUAGGGGACUCAAAUUAUAUAAGGCUUUCCCUGACAUUUGUUAAUCUUUUACAUUCCUUUGAUAAGUCCAAAAGAAAAUAGUGCCCAAGGAUUCUUUUGUGUUGAUAUUUUUUAAUCAAGAUAAUAAUAAGACCCAGAAGAAUAAAUUCUGCGAGCCCCAACGGGACUCAAAAAAGGUGGCUAAGUGCCUAGGAAUUUUCACACAAAGGAAAACUACCUCCUUAGAGCAACUAAUUAGAACCUAAGAGUGACAAUGACUACUGUGAAUCUUGUUGCUUAAUUAGGGCUUUGUGAACAACUCCGGUUAAUGCAUAUCAAUAUUAUCUUUUGUCUAAUGAACAAAUUCGCUAAUGCUUAGAUUCUCUGCUUGCACCAUCUGUCCCCCCUCCCUGCUAUUUAGGAAUGCUAUCAGUGAGCUAAAUUACUAGGUCGUAUGUUUAGUGUGAUUCAAAGUAGCUUCAUUUUUAAAGGAGAAAUAUGAGGCACUCUUUCCAGAAGAGGUUUACCUCCUUCGGUACCGUAGACAGGGUUUUUUUUGUUUUGUUUUGUUUGUUUUUUCAGACAAGGUUCUUACAGGUUGACGCUGAGGCUGGCUUACCCCUUAGCAUAUAUCUACCCCAUUUGCAGCUUUCAUGAGAACCACCACUGCCCAGCAUUAUGUUACUGCACACUGAUCUUCAUGUAUUUCCUACCCUUUUUUUUUUUUUAAUACUCCGUGCAUUUUGGGGUUCUACUUAAGAUAGUUGAGCCUGCUGUCUCAUUUUAUUGCUGUCAGCCCUUAGAAAACUGGUUAUUUCUACCCUAUGAGCUAAUGGUAAAGGGUGAGGAUUUCAUACCAACUUCUGAUAAGUGGGAAGAACCAAAGCCCAUCUAGGCCUCAUGUUAGAGAUACCUUUAAGGCAGAGAACAUGAGCUAAAACCUGGGCUCCCCUAAAUUGAGUGGUAGGACUUCCUCUAUUAAUCAGUUUGUGGCAUGCCUGUUUGCCGUUGGCUUUAGGAACAACUGCUCCCUGUCACCACCAGUCUGCAGACCCAGCUUUUAGCACAUAGAUCAAUUUUCCCCCACUGGGAGAGGUCUCACCCUCCAACUUGCCCAAAAAAUGUAAGCCUUGCACUUUGUCUAAACCCUAUAUAAAUGUCUGAUCACUUUAGGUGGAUCUUGAAGUUCCUGGUUUGAAUUGUUAAAUUCUCAAUAAACUUGUGUUUUAACCUCGAAA